RNAcentral lists this ribosomal RNA (385 nucleotides) under uncultured bacterium. Its description in RNAcentral is "bacterial SSU rRNA". It matches the Rfam family "Bacterial small subunit ribosomal RNA", at positions 30 to 418 of the family's 1533-position model. The record is from RNAcentral.
AUUGAACGCUGGCGGCAGGCCUAAUACAUGCAAGUCGAACGGUAACAUAAAAGAAGCUUGCUUCUUUUGAUGACGAGUGGCGGACGGGUGAGUAAUAUUUGGGAAACUACCUGAUAGAGGGGGACAACAGUUGGAAACGACUGCUAAUACCGCAUAUAGCCUGAGGGUGAAAGCAGCAAUGCGCUAUCAGAUGUGCCCAAACGGGAUUAGCUAGUAGGUGAGGUAAAGGCUCACCUAGGCGACGAUCUCUAGCUGGUCUGAGAGGAUGAUCAGCCACAUUGGGACUGAGACACGGCCCAGGGCUCCUACGGGAGGCAGCAGUAGGGAAUAUUGCACAAUGGAGGAAACUCUGAUGCAGCCAUGCCGCGUGUGUGAAGAAGGCCUU